Long non-coding RNA from Papaver somniferum (opium poppy), 1697 nucleotides. RefSeq lists it as uncharacterized. Lineage: Eukaryota; Viridiplantae; Streptophyta; Magnoliopsida; Ranunculales; Papaveraceae. The record is from RefSeq and is a predicted model, not a curated record. The transcript is spliced from 11 exons.
UUCCUUCUUUAACGAGCAGAGAAGAGAAGCCAUGUCUUCUUCUCUUCUUUCCUCUUUUCUUGCUUCUGCUCGAACGCCACCAUCGCCCUCUCCAUGAUGCCAGCAGCAGUAUCUAAUUUUUUUCUUCUUCCUCGAUCAGCUUUUCUUGAACCCUUUUGUUUAAUCUCUACGCUAGAAUACCUACAUCCAAUAUUUCUAUUUAUUAUCUAGGGUUUCAAUUAUAGAGAUUCAGUAAGAGAUUACUUCGAUUGAGCAAAUAUUUUUUUCCGAAUUUAGAGUCGUUCUUAAUCAGAAAUUAAUUUGAGUCGGGAAAGCCCAAUUAGUGCAACUGUAUAGAAAGGACUGAAGGCGGAAAAUAAUUGAAACCUAGAAAGAGCAGGAGAGAAAGAGAUAUGCGAAAUUGUAGUGGUAGGAGGAUUACAAAAUGGUAUUAAGAAUAGGCCGUCCUGAACCGGAAAGAAAAAGGAAAUUGAUGAAAGAACAGCUGGGUACUAAAGUUAACACAGCGAAUGACAUUCUUUGCCAUAAGAGUACUUUAUUUUGUUUUUGCUUAAUUCGGUAACCUCUAUUGCUUAAUUCUGUAACCUCAUGUUGGUGCCAAGGUUUUCUACCUUCCUCAAAAGUUACUUGGAACAGGUUAUGUCGAAAUUGUGUACAUGUUUACUGUUACAUCAGUGUUAAUAGUGAUGUUAAGUCUUAUUAUUUAUGUUUGGUUUGGGUUUGUAGGUCGAAGCAUGCACCAAUCAAGAAUUUGAUAUACAAUUUCCAAAGCACAAUUUGCCUUCACAAAUUCUUUGUCAGGUUGUAUACAUGAAGUUAAAGGCUGAAUUAGAAACUGAUGAGGUGUUUGCGCAAGUGACUUUGCUUCCUGAGAUGAAGGAAGAGGUGUCUGGUAUUGAGAAUUCCUUCCUAAAGCGGACAUGUAUCAAUAGCUGCCAUCGCAAGAACUGGUGGCUAGGGAUUUUCAUGGGUUAGAGUGGAACUUUCGCCAUGUGUACCGCGGGGCGAAAGUGGAGAAAUUUGUGUUGGUGUUAGUCGUGCAACGGAGACACAAUAGAGUCCUUCUUCAUCUGUCAUAUCUUUUCGCAACAUGCAACUUGGUGUACUUGCCACUGCAUCUCACGCUAUAUCUACUAGGACCAUGUUUAGUGUGUAUUACCUUCCUAGGAUGAGUCCGUCCGAGUUCCUAAUUCCAUACGAUGAAUACAUGAGCUCAGUUAGGACUGAGGUUCAGAAUGAAGUUUGAGGGAGAAGAAGGCCCAAAACAAAGUUGGAAUUGACGAUGUUGAUCCGGUUAGGUGGCCUAUAUCGAAAUGGAGAUGUCUCACGGACUCUAGGUUACAUGGGAUGAACCUUGUUUAACAAUUGUUCGUCCUAAAAGAGUUUCUCCUUAGACAAUGGAACUAUCUGACAAUGCAAGACCAAUUCGAUUCCAGUACAACUGAAAACGGCAAGAAGGGUUCGAAUCUCCUCAUCUGUUGAUUCAUCUAUCCUGGAUGAUGGUUAGUUUUCAAUGUGAUCUGUCUUAUUUACUUGUAGGAUUUUUUUUUUUAAUGUUGCCUAUACUUGCUUCUAAGGUUAGUGUUCACUUCUUCAAAUGUAGAAUGAAUGAAUGUUUGAAUGACUUCUUUUGAAUUAAGAAUCAAUGUUUGAAUGACUUCUUUUGAAUUAAGAAUGAAUGUUUGAAUUGGAUUGGA